GUGCCUCCCUUCUCCAUUUCUGUUCUUGGUCCCUGCAUUUCUUUCUCUGCUGCUGUUUCCCUGCCAGCUCUGGGCUCCGCUUCUCUCCUUGCUAAUCUUCAUUGCUGCAUGCGCUGCUGCUGCUGUUUUUGUUUUGUGCCUCUCUCUGGCGAGGACACAUUAGCUCACCCUUUUCUCAGAAAGCUGUGGGAACAGCCCCACCCUUGUUCCCUGCUCCGCGCAUGUGUCCCCAGUCGAGAAAUAAACAAGCCCUUGUUAUAAAUGGGCAGCCGGCUCAGCUGCCAUUGUCGUCACGCUGCCUCUGUGCCAUGCAAGCGCUGCCGGGAGGGGAACACUCUGUCUAUAAAGUGCCGCGGGAACAAAUUCCAUUUGGAGCAGCGGUUGCGUUGGGGCCUGCAGGGAGCAGGUCAGGAGACUGCUUCAGGCCUGCCGCCUGCGCAUUCCUGGUGUUCCCUUUGCACGCUGUUGCCCGGGAAACGGCACAAAGCUCCGCUGAUAAAGCCAAAUGUGAAAGGCAGUCCUGCUGAAGCAGUUUCCAGUGUGGGAGCCAGGAGAGACAAAUUCAGUGAUAGGAGGAGAGGAUCAGGCACAGUUAUGGAUGCUACUUGUGGAUAGCUCAACUGGCUAGAGCAUGGCGCUAAUAACCCCAAGGUCACAGGUUCAAUUCCCUUAAAGGGCAGCUGCAUAUCCUUCCAAUUCUAUGAUUCUACUCAAUUUCCUGAGGUGUGCUCAUCUCAUUCAGGGGAGAUGGGAACCAUUUCCAACCCCAGGCCCACAUUCCCUUCGGGCAACUGAACCUCCUGAGGACUACAAGCCUGUGGUGGGCAGGGCCAGAGACCUGCAUGGGUGGAUCAAGGAAUGCAAAUAUUACCUUUGCACAGCUGGUUUUGACCUAGGCACCAUUCUCCAUUGUUCAUCCAGGCAUGCAAGAAUCAGUGUCAGAGUUCAAGAACACCUUCCAGCUAGGAGAAAACACCUCAAGACUAAAAGGAACUCGAAGCAUCACUGGAGAAAAAUGUGUGUCAGAAGAGUUCCUCACAUUUCUACAGCCUGGAGUCUGCGGUAUUUUUGGAAGAAUCAGCAUGGUAUGGCUGUGUCUUCUUGGUUAUUCUGGAACAGCAAGCACUUGCUACUUUUUAAAGCCAGCAGUGGCCUUGUUAUAAGGCAGCCUUUGCCGACCAUAGGUUUUCUGCUACAACUCCCAUCAGCCCUAGGCAGCACAGCCAGUAGAUCUCUUAGACCAGCUUAGACCAGCGGUCCAUUCAUCCCAGGGAUGGCGAAUCUGUGACCAUCCAGACACUGUGGGACUCUGGUUCCCAUCAGCCCCAGACAGCAGGGUCAGUGGUCAAGGAGAUGUGGUCCACUGGCACCUAGAGGACCAUACUGGUUCCCUAUCACUUCAGCAAGAGACAAUUUCUCCCAUGCAAGCCUGAGAGCAUGCAAUCAAUGCUCCAUGGUCAAUGUCAAAGAAGUCUCUGCUUGAUCAGUGGGGAGCCCCUAUUUCACCCACGCUCUUCCCAUCAAGUGGCCUCUAAGUCCUCACAAGCAGGGCAUGAAGGAGAUGGUUGUCGCUAGAAGUUUGUCCCUCCCUAGCAUCUGGCAUGCCUAGAGGUAUCCUGCCCUGGUAUGUGGAGGCUCCAUCUAGCUUCCAUGUCUGGAUACGAGAUGAAGCUUCCUAUUUCCCCCUCUACUUCUAGCUUCUGAACUAGAAGUUGGAAGUACAGCUUAUAAAUUGAACUCAUUUAUAUCCAACCCUUCUUCCAAGGACCUAGGUAAGCAGCCGUUUAGCUUUUUACCUUGUUAACAACCCUAGGAAGUGGUGAUGCUGAGAGAGCUUGAUUUGCCCAAAGCCAACCAAGGAACUCUGUGGCUCUGAGUGGAGGUUUGGUCCUCCCCCUUUCUCAUCAAGUCAACACUCUUUCUCCACUAUUGGCACCCGAUUCCCCUCCACCCACCCCAUAGAAACAAACAAGCUUGGAAGAGUGUUCUCUUUAAAUCAACCUUAGUGCUGUUAAUGGGGCAAUUCUACAUUUUCACAUAUUGAAACAGGUAAGCAUUUGUUCUGCCUAGCUUUUAGCAUGUAUGUUAUCUACUGUGGACCGAAUAUUUUCUGGUUUUAUUGUUAUUGAUUUUUUAGAUUAUUUUUAACUACUCUGGGAUUUCUAAUGGAAUGCGCUGUACAAAGGAUUUAAUAUGUAUGUUGCAGUUUCCACCCCCUGCUCCAAUAAGAAACAGAUUUCACUGUCAUGUCUGUCUGUGUGUCUCUCUCUCUCUGUGUCCAUGCGUGUGUAUACUUAGGGACAGCCCAGAUCUCUUCCAAAGCAUUCAGCUCACUCUUCCCUGACUAAUUUCAUCCACCAGUGUUGCAAUAGGAAGACCUGCAACUUCCAUCUUCUGAACUCAUUGACUCAUCAACAUCACUAGUGGGUUAACUCUACAAUCAUAGAAUUGCUUUCUUCUCUGUGGGACUCCAAUAAAGAAAGCCUUUAUUAUGGGACUGUAAUGUAGUUCCAUCUUUCCAUUGCAACACUGGUGGCUGGAAUGAGAAGAGUUCAAACUAGGGCAGGAGAAAUGGAAAGCUUUGGGAAAGGCCUGGCUUGACCUCCUUGCCUGCCUGCCUACACACACACACACACACACACACACACACACACACACACACACAAUUUCUUAUUAGUCCCACUGAUUUCCCCAAGGACUGUGCUGUUAUGGCAUUGCUAUGGUGGAAUCUAGCAUGAGUCCCAUGACCCAUGGGGAACUGGGUAUGGAUUGGCAGGCUCAGAUGGAGAUGAAGAAUGAAGAAGCAGUGAGACAGAAGUUAUGGGAACUGGGGAUGGAGGACAGACGUUCUCCCUUUUGAUGCCAGCUACUAUAGAAGUGGGAGCAGGAACAUUGGCUCCUGGGGGGGGGGCAGGGAGCCUCAUUGGCUGAAGAGGUCCUGGACUACUGGGGUAAAGGAGAGCAGCAGAAGCAGCAACAUGGUGUCCUUGGUUCACCCCUCGAGGGUCCCCAGUCAUCCUCCUGGAUAUUGAGAAAAUCUCUCUGAAAUAACCUCCAUCUCACAAGAGCCAAUGUUCACAUUAAGGUUACCAGACGUCCCCGUUUCCUGGGGACAGUCCCCGGAUUUACAAAUCAGUCCCCUGACAAAAUCCAUCUAUUUAGUAGGAAGUUGAAAAGUGUCCCCGGAUUCAUUGAAAAAAAUCUGGUAACCUUCAUUCACAUACACUUGCUGCUGGAAAGAUGAGCAACUGCAAAUAGCCCUGAGUUUGUAUAUUCUGCCUCACAAUCCCCAAUGAAAGAAAUACUUCCACUUACGCAUGCUGGAAUUGCAAUACACCCCACCCCCAAGUUGGGGGAACUACUUUUUGGAACUUCAGAGCCACUCCCAUGGUUUUUUAAGGACCCUUUCUACUUCUUUACACUGAAAAGGAAAACAAGCCAGUAGAAGCAGCACUCCCUCCCUUAUUUCAGGUGGUUUCAAUACAGUUACAGUAUAAUUAGUUUUUACUUACUUUUUGCAAGCCAGCAUUGAUUUGGAGUCCACAUAAAGCCCAUGCAUAGGAACACAGGUACUGUAUCUGCUUCCAGACUGUUGCUAUUUUCAGGCAGGAAUCAAUCACAGGCCAGCAAAUACAGGUUGCACAACUGUAGUUGAUUGGGCCGUUAUCCAGAACAAACCCAUCUGUGGCAAGGAAAGUGAUGGGGAAUUGCCCUGGAAAGUGUGAGAUAGCCCUUGCUUUGAUGUAAGAUAAUCCAAUCAGGAUGACUGCUCAAUGAACAGGUCAUCUGGAAGUGCCCUCCAUGUCUACCAAUCAGUAGCCAUUCUCUGGGGUUUGAGGCAGGGAUGUUGCCUAGCUUUCCCUCAAGAAGCCAGGGAAUGAACCCAAUAUUGUCUGCAUGGAAAGCCUGUGUGUUCUACCACUGAGCUGAAGCUCUUCCC
RNAcentral lists this long non-coding RNA (3940 nucleotides) under Podarcis muralis (Common wall lizard). Its description in RNAcentral is "lncRNA (ENSPMRG00000005604.1)". Lineage: Eukaryota; Metazoa; Chordata; Lepidosauria; Squamata; Lacertidae. The record is from RNAcentral.